AAUCCAUAAAGAUUAUUCUAGAAACCCUAAUUCCUCUCUCACCAAAAACAGACGCUCCCUUUUCCCCUCUCCAUUGUCGCUUUCAAUCUCUUCCAUGGCAGAGCUCUCUCUUGGCUUUUUCCCCCAUUUUUAGCCGAGUCUUGACCUUCAAAUCCCUAGGCGCCAGAGCGUAUCUCAUCAUUUCAGUAUAACCUGAAGCAUAUCACUGAAGAAUCACGUGAAGAUUGAAUCCAUCCAAAAGGCUUCAACGUUAAAAAUUCAAACGGAUCAGUUUGACUUCUUUUGAAAUCUAAAUUUCAAAUUCCCGCUCAAAGGAACCAAGAACCCUAAUUUUACACCUAUAAAUACUAGAUUUGGUGAAAAUUUUGAGGACCUUUUCGCUUGCCGCUAUAGACCUUUGGACCCGCCGCUUUUAUACUCUUUUCCUCGCCAUUCUUCUCUCAUUUUUUACUCAUUAGAACCACACUCUAAGGGUUCGUUUUUGUUCAGCCUCUAUUGGUUUUGUCUAACCAUAACAGAGGCGUCGUCGUGCUCGUUUCGGAGUUUGACGGUCGUUCAAGGUUGCGGAGUAGAGGCCGGAGAUAGCACACCUUGACCCAACCCCGGUUCACUGCCCCGAAGAAGCAAAACAUGGAGUUUAAAUACGAGACUCCCCAUACCCGAGCAUGGAUUCAUCACAUGACAUCUUCCUUAGAGUGCACCGGAUAGCAAGAAAAACAAGCGAAACGCUUGGGGGCGCUUAUGGCGUCUUUCUUAUUUCUUUUUCUUUUCUUUUGACAUUCAUUCUUGUCUAGUUUUAUGAUCCUAUAUUUAUUUUUGUGUUUUUGUUCAAGUUUGGAAUUUCAUAACAUUCGGAAGUCGCCGCUAAGUAAAUCAAUUUCGGUCUUGCUAGUUUAAA
Long non-coding RNA from Nicotiana attenuata, 898 nucleotides. RefSeq lists it as uncharacterized. Lineage: Eukaryota; Viridiplantae; Streptophyta; Magnoliopsida; Solanales; Solanaceae. The record is from RefSeq and is a predicted model, not a curated record. The transcript has 2 exons.